GAGCUGGUGGCUCAGAGGUUAAAGCAUCUGCCUGCAAUGCGGAAGGCCUGGGUUCGACCCCUGGGUCA
RNAcentral lists this transfer RNA (68 nucleotides) under Ovis aries (sheep). It matches the Rfam family "tRNA". Rfam says of the family: Transfer RNA (tRNA) molecules are approximately 80 nucleotides in length. Their secondary structure includes four short double-helical elements and three loops (D, anti-codon, and T loops). Further hydrogen bonds mediate the characteristic L-shaped molecular structure. tRNAs have two regions of fundamental functional importance: the anti-codon, which is responsible for specific mRNA codon recognition, and the 3' end, to which the tRNAs corresponding amino acid is attached (by aminoacyl-tRNA synthetases). tRNAs cope with the degeneracy of the genetic code in two manners: having more than one tRNA (with a specific anti-codon) for a particular amino acid; and 'wobble' base-pairing, i.e. permitting non-standard base-pairing at the 3rd anti-codon position. The record is from Rfam by way of RNAcentral. Lineage: Eukaryota; Metazoa; Chordata; Mammalia; Artiodactyla; Bovidae.